GACGAACGCUGGCGGCGUGCUUAACACAUGCAAGUCGAACGGAAAGGCCUCUUUCGGGGGGUACUCGAGUGGCGAACGGGUGAGUAACACGUGAGUAACCUGCCCUUGACUUUGGGAUAACUUCAGGAAACUGGGGCUAAUACCGGAUAGGAGCUCCUGCUGCAUGGUGGGGGUUGGAAAGUUUCGGCGGUUGGGGAUGGACUCGCGGCUUAUCAGCUUGUUGGUGGGGUAGCGGCUUACCAAGGCUUUGACGGGUAGCCGGCCUGAGAGGGUGACCGGCCACAUUGGGACUGAGAUACGGCCCAGACUCCUACGGGAGGCAGCAGUGGGGAAUAUUGCACAAUGGGUGGAAGCCUGAUGCAGCAACGCCGUGUGCGGGAUGACGGCCUUCGGGUUGUAAACCGCUUUCGCUCAUGACGAAGCUUUGUGUGACGGUAGUGGGUAAAGAAGCACCGGCUAACUACGUG
RNAcentral lists this ribosomal RNA (467 nucleotides) under uncultured bacterium. Its description in RNAcentral is "partial 16S ribosomal RNA". It matches the Rfam family "Bacterial small subunit ribosomal RNA", at positions 28 to 507 of the family's 1533-position model. The record is from RNAcentral.